This is a non-coding RNA of Stereum hirsutum FP-91666 SS1, 100 nucleotides long. Lineage: Eukaryota; Fungi; Basidiomycota; Agaricomycetes; Russulales; Stereaceae. The record is from the annotation of a RefSeq genome assembly.
GCAUCAAUGGGGUAGUGGUAACCUGGGUCGUUGCCAUCAUGUUUCGAAAGCAUAAUUGUGUCAUAUCGACCCGCCGGGGGUUCAAUUCCCCCUUGAUGCA